RNAcentral lists this ribosomal RNA (371 nucleotides) under uncultured bacterium. Its description in RNAcentral is "bacterial SSU rRNA". It matches the Rfam family "Bacterial small subunit ribosomal RNA", at positions 30 to 401 of the family's 1533-position model. The record is from RNAcentral.
AUUGAACGCUGGCGGCAUGCCUUACACAUGCAAGUCGAACGGUAACGGGCCUUCGGGUGCCGACGAGUGGCGAACGGGUGAGUAAUGCAUCGGAACGUACCUUUCAGUGGGGGAUAACGUAGCGAAAGUUACGCUAAUACCGCAUAUUCUGUGAGCAGGAAAGCAGGGGAUCGCAAGACCUUUGCGCUGAUUGAGCGGCCGAUGUCAGAUUAGCUAGUUGGUGAGGUUAAAGGCUCACCAAGGCGACGAUCUGUAGCGGGUCUGAGAGGAUGAUCCGCCACACUGGAACUGAGACACGGUCCAGACUCCUACGGGAGGCAGCAGUGGGGAAUUUUGGACAAUGGGGGCAACCCUGAUCCAGCCAUGCCGCG